CAACUUUCAACAACGGAUCUCUUGGCUCUCGCAUCGA
RNAcentral lists this ribosomal RNA (37 nucleotides) under Gymnopilus spectabilis. Its description in RNAcentral is "partial 5.8S ribosomal RNA". The record is from RNAcentral. Lineage: Eukaryota; Fungi; Basidiomycota; Agaricomycetes; Agaricales; Galerinaceae. RNAcentral also lists the same sequence under 1 other name.